Pseudophryne corroboree (corroboree frog) is the source of this 1188-nucleotide long non-coding RNA. RefSeq lists it as uncharacterized. NCBI's taxonomy places the organism in Eukaryota, Metazoa, Chordata, Amphibia, Anura, Myobatrachidae. The record is from RefSeq and is a predicted model, not a curated record. The transcript has 3 exons.
GUCAGUUGGAGCUUUGGUGAAAAAAGAGCUGGCGACGCCAUUACGCAGAGAUGAGCAGCUGAGAGAGGGGAGACAUGUAAGCUGAAAAUUGCAUGAGAGAGUAAACAGAAGUGCAAAAUACAGCAGUGGAAGUGCAGCAAUUAACAACGCGAGGAGACAGCGGCACCAGGCGUCUGUGUUUCUAUGACAACCCCGCCUCCACGUUACCAAUGACCUGAAACCAGAGGGCUCCGAUCAGCGCAAAGCACUUGGUGGGCUUCUUUGGGUAUAUAGAAUUUUUAGCAGCCUUCUUUGCUCGUGGAAGAAGAAUGCUCACAGACACUAGAUCCACUGCCAGAGUUUCCUUCACCUGUCCUCUGCUCUACCCCACUGCCAGCACCCAGCAAGCCUCACAGUUGCCUGAAGCACGCACAAGGAGAGGACGUAAAAGGCCAUGUCAGGUUGGGAAUAGGUCUGAGCUGAUGACUCAGCAGAUUCAGGAGUCUGCCAAUCGGCUCAUGGAGAUGGAUGAGGAUGAGAAGAAGCACAUUGGGAGCACCAUAGCCAAAAAGCUACAGAUUCUGGAUCCUACAAGGAGGGCUGAAGCAGAGAGGAUUAUUUGGGAAGCUUUUUACCAGGCCACUGUUGGGACCCUUAACCAACAUACCUGGUUAACAAAUAACUCCCCCAGCCUAUCUGCACUGCCUCUAUGCCACAAUCAAUGGCAUAUCAACCCAGCCAAGAUCCCCAAUAUCCCCACUUUAAAAUGCACACACCAUCCCCUUCUGUGCAACCACACCCAGUGGUGCCGAGAGAGGGGGAGGGUACUAAUUACCCGGGCCCAGGUAAUAUGGAUGGGCCCUUACCUGGCAGCAGCAGCUGCAACUCUUCUCCUCAGCCCAGCACAUGCUGUUGUGUGCUGUGCUGCAGUAUAGCCAGGAAUGUGCUUAAAAUACAUGCAUAGCCACACCUCCUGUGAUUAGGCCACACCCCCUGAAUAGUACCUGGGCCCAGUCAGGCUCUCUACUGCCCUGACCACACCCUCCACCAACAUCAGUAGUGGCUACAGGUUAGUGGGUCCUUCAUGGGUUUUAGGGAAAUAUCAUCUUCCUCCCAACCAGCCCCUGAUACAAUGCACUAUCACAAUGUUUAAAAGCGGGCAUAGUUUUCAUAUAGAAAUGUUUUGUUAUUAGCUUUAGGUUUUGUUAU